This 505-nucleotide ribosomal RNA is filed under the name uncultured bacterium. RNAcentral describes it as "partial 16S ribosomal RNA". It matches the Rfam family "Bacterial small subunit ribosomal RNA", at positions 28 to 507 of the family's 1533-position model. The record is from RNAcentral.
GACGAACGCUGGCGGCGUGCCUAAUACAUGCAAGUAGAACGCACAGUUUAUACCGUAGCUUGCUACACCAUAGACUGUGAGUUGCGAACGGGUGAGUAACGCGUAGGUAACCUGCCUGGUAGCGGGGGAUAACUAUUGGAAACGAUAGCUAAUACCGCAUAAUAUUGAUUAUUGCAUGAUAAUUAAUUGAAAGGUGCAAUUGCACCACUACCAGAUGGACCUGCGUUGUAUUAGCUAGUAGGUGAGGUAACGGCUCACAUAGGCGACGAUACAUAGCCGACCGGAGAGGGGGGGCGGCCACCCUGGGAGGGAGACACGCCCCAUACGCCUACGGAAGGCGGCCGGAGGGAAACGUCGGCAAGCGGCGGAAGACUGACCGAACAGCGCCGCAGGAGGAAGGAAGGAUGUCGGAUCGUAAAGCUCGGUUGUAAGAGAAGAACGGGUGUGAGAGUGGAAAGUUCACACUGUGACGGUAACUGACCAGAAAGGGACGGCUAACUACGUG